UAUGGCAGAUUAGUGCAUUGGAAUUAAAACCCAAUUAUAAAGAAUUCUUUUAUUAGAA
RNAcentral lists this transfer RNA (58 nucleotides) under Cephaloleia cf. quadrilineata McKenna-041. RNAcentral describes it as "tRNA-Leu". The record is from RNAcentral. Lineage: Eukaryota; Metazoa; Arthropoda; Insecta; Coleoptera; Chrysomelidae. RNAcentral also lists the same sequence under 1 other name.